Molecule: ribosomal RNA, 253 nt
Filed under: uncultured bacterium
Lineage: Bacteria
Description: partial 16S ribosomal RNA
Rfam family: Bacterial small subunit ribosomal RNA
Source: RNAcentral
UACAGGGGGGGCAAGCGUUGUUCGGAAUUACUGGGCGUAAAGGGUUUGUAGGUGGCCACUUAAGUCAGACGUGAAAUCCCUCAGCUUAACUGGGGAACUGCGUCUGAUACUGCGUGGCUUGAGUGCAGGAGAGGAACGCGGAAUUCCAGGUGUAGCGGUGAAAUGCGUAGAUAUCGUAAGGAAGACCAGUGGCGAAGGCGAAUCUCUGGACAGUUACUGACACUGAGGCACGAAGGCCAGGGGAGCAAACGGG